This 1023-nucleotide ribosomal RNA is filed under the name Salmonella enterica. RNAcentral's name for it is "partial 23S ribosomal RNA". It matches the Rfam family "Bacterial large subunit ribosomal RNA", at positions 158 to 1221 of the family's 2925-position model. The record is from RNAcentral. RNAcentral also lists the same sequence under 1 other name. Lineage: Bacteria; Pseudomonadati; Pseudomonadota; Gammaproteobacteria; Enterobacterales; Enterobacteriaceae.
GUGAAUACAUAGCGUAAUGAAGCGAACCGGGGGAACUGAAACAUCUAAGUACCCCGAGGAAAAGAAAUCAACCGAGAUUCCCCCAGUAGCGGCGAGCGAACGGGGAGGAGCCCAGAGCCUGAAUCAGCAUGUGUGUUAGUGGAAGCGUCUGGAAAGGCGCGCGAUACAGGGUGACAGCCCCGUACACAAAAGCGCAUGUGUUGUGAGCUCGAUGAGUAGGGCGGGACACGUGGUAUCCUGUCUGAAUAUGGGGGGACCAUCCUCCAAGGCUAAAUACUCCUGACUGACCGAUAGUGAACCAGUACCGUGAGGGAAAGGCGAAAAGAACCCCGGCGAGGGGAGUGAAAAAGAACCUGAAACCGUGUACGUACAAGCAGUGGGAGCACCCUUUGGGGUGUGACUGCGUACCUUUUGUAUAAUGGGUCAGCGACUUAUAUUCUGUAGCAAGGUUAACCGAAUAGGGGAGCCGGAGGGAAACCGAGUCUUAAUUGGGCGUUAAGUUGCAGGGUAUAGACCCGAAACCCGGUGAUCUAGCCAUGGGCAGGUUGAAGGUUGGGUAACACUAACUGGAGGACCGAACCGACUAAUGUUGAAAAAUUAGCGGAUGACCUGUGGCUGGGGGUGAAAGGCCAAUCAAACCGGGAGAUAGCUGGUUCUCCCCGAAAGCUAUUUAGGUAGCGCCUCGUGAACUCAUCUCCGGGGGUAGAGCACUGUUUCGGCUAGGGGGCCAUCCCGGCUUACCAACCCGAUGCAAACUGCGAAUACCGGAGAAUGUUAUCACGGGAGACACACGGCGGGUGCUAACGUCCGUCGUGAAGAGGGAAACAACCCAGACCGCCAGCUAAGGUCCCAAAGUCAUAGUUAAGUGGGAAACGAUGUGGGAAGGCCCAGACAGCCAGGAUGUUGGCUUAGAAGCAGCCAUCAUUUAAAGAAAGCGUAAUAGCUCACUGGUCGAGUCGGCCUGCGCGGAAGAUGUAACGGGGCUAAACUAUGCACCGAAGCUGCGGCAGCGACACUAUGUGU